Molecule: unclassified non-coding RNA, 200 nt
Filed under: Bartonella koehlerae
Lineage: Bacteria; Pseudomonadati; Pseudomonadota; Alphaproteobacteria; Hyphomicrobiales; Bartonellaceae
Description: partial 16S-23S ribosomal RNA intergenic spacer
Rfam family: tRNA (bases 132-200)
Source: RNAcentral
UAGAUGAUGAUCCCAAGCCUUCUGGCGAUCUACACAAACAAGUCCACCGUGGACUUUGAAAAGCGCUUUCCUUUAUAAAAUUGAGCGUUUUGUAAGAGGAUGCCGGGGAAGGUUUUCCGGUUUAUCCCGGAGGGCUUGUAGCUCAGUUGGUUAGAGCGCGCGCUUGAUAAGCGUGAGGUCGGAGGUUCAAGUCCUCCCAG